RNAcentral lists this long non-coding RNA (3010 nucleotides) under Equus asinus (donkey). RNAcentral describes it as "lncRNA (ENSEASG00005028269.1)". The record is from RNAcentral. Lineage: Eukaryota; Metazoa; Chordata; Mammalia; Perissodactyla; Equidae.
CCGUAACUGAGGAAGCAGGCAACAGUGCCUAGCUCAGGUGACAAUCUUUAAGCAAAAGAAACACACAAGGGCGUGGAGACCUGGGGAAAAAGCAACACUGAGAAAUCCACCCUCUGAAACUGAGGAAGAUGGGCAACAGAGGCUAGCUCAGGUGGCAAUAGUUAAGCAAAAACAAAACACAAGGGCGUGCAGACCUGGCAAAAAAGCAACCCUGAAAUCCACCCUCUGAAACUGAGGAAGAUGGGCAAGAGAGGCUGGCUCAGGUGGCAAUCUUUAAGCAAAAGAAACACACAAGGGCGUGGAGACCUGGGGAAAAGCAACACGGAGAAAUCCAACCCUCUGAAACUGAGGAACAUGGGCAAGAGAGGCUAGCUCAGGUGGCAAUCGUUAAGCAAAAACAAAACACAAAGGCGUGGAGACCUGGGGAAAAAGCAACCCUGAAAUAUCUACCCUCUGAAACUGAGGAAGAUGGGCAAGAGAGGCUGGCUUCAGGUGGCAAACUUUAAGCAAAAGAAACACACAAGGGCGUGGAGACCUGGGGAAAAAGCAACACGGAGAAAUCCACCCUCUGAAACUGAGGAAGAUGGGCAAGAGAGGCUAGCUCAGGUGGCAAUCGUUAAGCAAAAACAAAACCCAAAGGCGUGGAGACCUGGGGAAAAAGCAACCCUGAAAUAUCUACCCUCUGAAACUGAGGAAGAUGGGCAAGAGAGGCUGGCUUCAGGUGGCAAUCUUUAAGCAAAAGAAACACACAAGGGCGUGGAGACCUGGGGAAAAAGCAACACUGAGAAAUCUACCCUCUGAAACUGACGAAGAUGGGCAACAGAGGCUAGCUCAGGUGGCAAUCGUUAAGCAAAAGAAACACACAAGGGCGUGGAGACCUGGGGAAAAAGCAACACGGAGAAAUCCACCCUCUGAAACUGAGGAAGAUGGGCAAGAGAGGCUAGCUCAGGUGGCAAUCGUUAAGCAAAAACAAAACACAAGGGCGUGCAGACCUGGCAAAAAGCAACAGUGAGAAAUCUACCCUCUGAAACUGACGAAGAUGGGCAACAGAGGCUACCUCAGGUGGCAAUCUUUAAGCAAAAGAAACACACAAGGGCGGGGAGACCUGGGGAAAAAGCAACACGGAGAAAUCUACCCUCUAGAACUGAGGAAGAUGGGCAACAGAGGCUAGCUCAGGUGGCAAUCUUUAAGCAAAAAAAAAAAUAAAAUAAAAAAUACAAUGGCGAGGAGACCCGGUCAAAAAGCAACCCUGAAAAAGGUACCCUCUGAAACUGAGGAAGCAGGGCAACAGUGCCUAGCUCAGGUGACAAUCUUUAAGCAAAAGAAACACACAAGGGCGUGGGGAGCUGGCGAAAAGGCAACACUGAGAAAUCCACCCUCUGAAACGGACGAAGAUGGGCAACAGAGGCUAGCUCAGGUGGCAAUCUUUAAGCAAAAGAAACACACAAGGGCGUGGAGACCUGGGGAAAAAGCAACACGGAGAAAUCCACCCUCUGAAACUGAGGAAGAUGGGCAAGAGAGGCUACCUCAGGUGGCAAUCGUUAAGCAAAAACAAAGCACAAAGGCGUGGAGCCCUGGGGACAAAGCAACCCUGAAAUAUCUACCCUCUGAAACUGAGGAACAUGGGCAAGAGAGGCUAGCUCAGGUGGCAAUCGUUAAGCAAAAACAAAACCCAAAGGCGUGGAGACCUGGGGAAAAAGCAACCCUGAAAUAUCUACCCUCUGAAACUGAGGAAGAUGGGCAAGAGAGGCUGGCUUCAGGUGGCAAUCUUUAAGCAAAAGAAACACACAAGGGCGUGGAGACCUGGGGAAAAAGCAACACUGAGAAAUCCACCCUCUGAAACUGAGGAAGAUGGGAAACAGAGGCUACCUCAGGUGGCAAUCGUUAAGCAAAAGAAACACACAAGGGCGUGGAGACCUGGGGAAAAAGCAACACGGAGAAAUCCACCCUCUGAAACUGAGGAAGAUGGGCAAGAGAGGCUAGCUCAGGUGGCAAUCGUUAAGCAAAAACAAAACCCAAAGGCGUGGAGACCUGGGGAAAAAGCAACCCUGAAAUAUCUACCCUCUGAAACUGAGGAAGAUGGGCAAGAGAGGCUGGCUUCAGGUGGCAAACUUUAAGCAAAAGAAACACACAAGGGCGUGGAGACCUGGGGAAAAAGCAGCACUGAGAAAUCUACCCUCUGAAACUGACGAGGAUGGGCAACAGAGGCUACCUCAGGUGGCAAUCGUUAAGCAAAAGAAACACACAAGGGCGUGGAGACCUGGGGAAAAAGCAACACGGAGAAAUCCACCCUCUGAAACUGACGAACAUGGGCAAAAGAAGCUAGCUCAGGUUGCAACCUUUAAGCAGAAAAAAAAAAAGACGCAAGGGCGUGGAGAGCUGGCGAAAAAGCAACAGGGAGAAAUCCACCCUCUGAAACCGACGAAGAUGGGCAACAGAGGCUAGGUCAGGUGGCAAUCGUUAAGCAAAAACAAAACCCAAAGGCGUGGAGACCUGGGGAAAAAGCAACCCUGAAAUAUCUACCCUCUGAAACUGAGGAAGAUGGGCAAGAGAGGCUGGCUUCAGGUGGCAAACUUUAAGCAAAAGAAACACACAAGGGCGUGGAGAGCUGGCGAAAAAGCAACACUGAGAAAUCUACCCUCUGAAACCGAAGAAGAUGGGCAACAGAGGCUAGCUCAGGUGGCAAUCUUUAAGCAAAAAAAUAAAAAAUAAAAAAAUACAAUGGCGAGGAGACCCGGUCAAAAAGCAACCCUGAAAAAGGUACCCUCUGAAACUGAGGAAGCAGCGCAACAGUGCCUAGCUCAGGUGACAAUCUUUAAGCAAAAAAAAAAAAAAACAAAAAACAAAAAACAAAACCCACAAUGGAGUGGAGACCCGGGGGAAAUCAACACUGAAAAAUACAAAAAGAAUGGAAGACCAAUAGACAGAGCAGGCACUUUCACCUGGGGUGGAGGAGCGGUGCACGUAUUUCCCUUCCAAAAAAGAAGAACGGGAAAGGAGAUGUUAAAGG